Molecule: ribosomal RNA, 253 nt
Filed under: uncultured bacterium
Lineage: Bacteria
Description: partial 16S ribosomal RNA
Rfam family: Bacterial small subunit ribosomal RNA
Source: RNAcentral
UACGUAGGUGGCAAGCGUUGUCCGGAAUUAUUGGGCGUAAAGGGCUCGCAGGCGGUUUUUUAAGUCUGAUGUGAAAGCCCCCGGCUCAACCGGGGAGGGUCAUUGGAAACUGGGAAACUUGAGUGCAGAAGAGGAGAGUGGAAUUCCACGUGUAGCGGUGAAAUGCGUAGAGAUGUGGAGGAACACCAGUGGCGAAGGCGACUCUCUGGUCUGUAACUGACGCUGAGGAGCGAAAGCGUGGGGAGCGAACAGG